RNAcentral lists this unclassified non-coding RNA (400 nucleotides) under soil metagenome. RNAcentral describes it as "partial contains 5.8S ribosomal RNA, internal transcribed spacer 2, and large subunit ribosomal RNA". The stretch from base 1 to 122 matches the Rfam family "5.8S ribosomal RNA", at positions 35 to 154 of the family's 154-position model. The record is from RNAcentral.
GAUGAAGAACGUAGCGAAAUGCGAUACUUGGUGUGAAUUGCAGAAUCCCGUGAACCAUCGAGUCUUUGAACGCAAGUUGCGCCUCAAGCCAUUAGGUUGAGGGCACGUCUGCCUGGGCGUCACAUAUCGUUGCCUGAUGCCAGUUUCCUCGUGAUGGGUGACUGUGCAGGGCGAAUUAUGGCUUCCCGUGAGCAUUGUUGCCUCAUGGUUGGUUGAAAAUUGAGUCCUUGGUAGGGAGCGCCGUGAUAGAUGGUGGUUGAGUGACGAACGAGACCCAAUCAUGUGAGACCCCUACCGAAUUUGGCCUUCAUGACCCACAUGCGUCUUUGGAACGCUCAUGACGAGACCUCAGGUCAGGCGGGGCUACCCGCUGAGUUUAAGCAUAUCAAUAAGCGGAGGA